Long non-coding RNA from Leptonychotes weddellii (Weddell seal), 776 nucleotides. RefSeq lists it as uncharacterized. The record is from RefSeq and is a predicted model, not a curated record. Lineage: Eukaryota; Metazoa; Chordata; Mammalia; Carnivora; Phocidae.
AGUCUUCACUUGUGAAAACAAACAGAAAUUAGUAGAAGGGAAGUUCUUCAGAGGAAAGGGAUGGCCGAGAAGCUAGCAGUACUCAUGAAGAUGAUGAAGAUGUGGCACUGAACUUCAUGAGACACCAGAUAGUUCUGCCUGGAAGGAGGCAAUACGAAUAAUGUCUCUCCAGUUAUUACUGAAUUAAUACGAGACAAUUGACCCUUUCUUUCAAAUCAUCCCCAGCAUUUCAAGCUACUCCUGGGUUUUAAUCUACUGCCUUAUCAUCCGUGAGGGCACUGCUACAAUGGAAUUUGUUCUUGAAAGGAGUUGCCCAACAGAGCUUCCAAGAGAUCUUACAGGAAUCGGAGACGUGGGACUACAUCUUGCAUCAGAAAAAGGAUAGACUCCAAAAGUUAUAAGCACCUGUAUAAGACCUCUGGUUGGAAGAGAGCAGGAAGAUGAAGCUGGCACUUCACAGAUUCCACUUUUGGGUGAAGGGGGUGUGAAGGCAUCCAACUUUCUAGGAUAUUAAUGGUGGAGAUUCUGGCACCCGGCUACCCACUUUAAUGUUACAAGCUGAGAUACCUUAAUCCAGCUUCAACAAGAAUGGAGUCCAGCUUCAACAAGAAUGGAGUCCUGGCUGGAGCAGGAAUACCCUGUGCUUUGAGCAAUGGUGUUGCUUUUAUAGCCUCUAGAAUCUGGCCCUCCUGCAGAUUCUUCAGUACCCUUUAAUAUGUUUCUUUUCUACUUAAACUAGCUAGAGUGGAUCCUGUUGUUUGUGCCCAGAAUCCUGA